RNAcentral lists this ribosomal RNA (249 nucleotides) under uncultured bacterium. Its description in RNAcentral is "partial 16S ribosomal RNA". It matches the Rfam family "Bacterial small subunit ribosomal RNA", at positions 100 to 354 of the family's 1533-position model. The record is from RNAcentral.
CGGGGUGAGUACAACAUAGGAAAUCUGCCUUAGGGUGGGGGACAACAGAGGGAAACUUCUGCUAAUACCCCAUAUGAGCUUGGUUGAAAUACCAAUCUCGAAAGUUCCGGCGCCCUAAGAUGAGCCUGUGCCUGAUUAGCUAGUUGGUGGUGUAAUGGACUACCAAGGCGACGAUCAGUAGCUGGUUUGAGAGGAUGAUCAGCCACAAUGGGACUGAGACACGGCCCAUACUCCUACGGAAGGCAGCAG